CCUUUCUCCAGCUGUAACUAUAUAACCCAACCCCUGUCCUACCCCUUUCUCCAGCUGUAACUAUAUAACCCAAUCCCCCUGUCCUACCCCUUUCUCCAGCUGUAACUAUAUAACCCAAUCCCCCUGUCCUACCCCUUUCUCCAGCUGUAACUAUAUAACCCAAUCCCCUGCCCUACCCCUUUCUCCAGCUGUAACUAUAUAACCCAAUCCCCCUGUCCUACCCCUUUCUCCAGCUGUAACUAUAUAACCCAAUCCCCCUGUCCUACCCCUUUCUCCAGCUGUAACUAUAUAACCCAAUCCCCCUGCCCUACCCCUUUCUCCAGCUGUAACUAUAUAACCCAACCCCCUGUCCUACCCCUUUCUCCAGCUGUAACUAUAUAACCCAAUCCCCUGCCCUACCCCUUUCUCCAGCUGUAACUAUAUAACCCAAUCCCCCUGUCCUACCCCUUUCUCCAGCUGUAACUAUAUAACCCAAUCCCCCUGUCCUACCCCUUUCUCCAGCUGUAACUAUAUAACCCAAUCCCCCUGCCCUACCCCUUUCUCCAGCUGUAACUAUAUAACCCAAUCCCCCUGCCCUACCCCUUUCUCCAGCUGUAACUAUAUAACCCAAUCCCCUGCCCUACCCCUUUCUCCAGCUGUAACUAUAUAACCCAAUCCCCAUACCCUACCAUUUUCUCCAGCUGUAACUAUAUAACCCAAUCCCCCUGUCCUACCCCUUUCUCCAGCUGUAACUAUAUAACCCAAUCCCCCUGUCCUACCCCUUUCUCCAGCUGUAACUAUAUAACCCAAUCCCCUGUCCUACCCCUUUCUCCAGCUGUAACUAUAUAACCCAAUCCCCCUGUCCUACCCCUUUCUCCAGCUGUAACUAUAUAACCCAAUCCCCCUGUCCUACCCCUUUCUCCAGCUGUAACUAUAUAACCCAAUCCCCUGUUAUUGAGUUUGUAUCCCAAUAUUACACUUUAUAUACAUGAAAGUAGACCGAAAUAUUACAAACUGUUUGACAUAGAAACACCAAUUUUCGGCAGGUAAAAAAAAAUCAUGAAAUGAUGAAUAACAUUCCACCCAUGAGGCCUCUAGGUAAUUUGACUGCAGGAAAAGGCUACUAGAGUGGAUAUAAUGGUAGGGGAGUGCCGUGGAUCCACAGAGCCCCCCACCCCAUCCCAUUGGUCAGACUGGGGUUAUUGAUCCGGUGUAUCGAGGCGCUGUAUUGGCUGCUUGAUCGUUCUGCUCCAUGCAGCAAAUGGUUGAAACAGGGCUAACCUUCACUGAUGAGUCAAUAGGAUGGCUGUAAACAUGAUUAACUUCUGAUCUUUGGUAAUGGCUGCAACAUGACCUCUGUACAGGCUGGGGAAUAAUCUGACAUACAGGAUGAAUAUCAUUUAUAACUAGCUUUAUAUUGACACAUUAUACAUAUACUGUAUAUUUGGCUGUUUAGUCUAUUGUAAUGGAAGUCCAUUGUCAGCUAUGUACCUCUUGUAUGAAUGAAUAAAAGC
Molecule: long non-coding RNA, 1493 nt
Organism: Oncorhynchus tshawytscha (Chinook salmon)
Lineage: Eukaryota; Metazoa; Chordata; Actinopteri; Salmoniformes; Salmonidae
Source: Ensembl